GGGGAAUUAGCUCAGCUGGGAGAGCGCUUCGCUGGCAGCGAAGAGGUCGUCGGUUCGAUCCCGAUAUUCUCCA
Molecule: transfer RNA, 73 nt
Filed under: hydrothermal vent metagenome
Description: tRNA-Ala-GGC
Rfam family: tRNA
About the family: Transfer RNA (tRNA) molecules are approximately 80 nucleotides in length. Their secondary structure includes four short double-helical elements and three loops (D, anti-codon, and T loops). Further hydrogen bonds mediate the characteristic L-shaped molecular structure. tRNAs have two regions of fundamental functional importance: the anti-codon, which is responsible for specific mRNA codon recognition, and the 3' end, to which the tRNAs corresponding amino acid is attached (by aminoacyl-tRNA synthetases). tRNAs cope with the degeneracy of the genetic code in two manners: having more than one tRNA (with a specific anti-codon) for a particular amino acid; and 'wobble' base-pairing, i.e. permitting non-standard base-pairing at the 3rd anti-codon position.
Source: RNAcentral